AGUGAACGCUGGCGGUAGGCCUAACACAUGCAAGUCGAACGGCAGCACAGUAAGAGCUUGCUCUUACGGGUGGCGAGUGGCGGACGGGUGAGGAAUACAUCGGAAUCUACUUUUUCGUGGGGGAUAACGUAGGGAAACUUACGCUAAUACCGCAUACGACCUACGGGUGAAAGCAGGGGAUCUUCGGACCUUGCGCGAUUGAAUGAGCCGAUGUCGGAUUAGCUAGUUGGCGGGGUAAAGGCCCACCAAGGCGACGAUCCGUAGCUGGUCUGAGAGGAUGAUCGGCAACACUGAACCUGAGCAACGGUCCAGACUCUAAGGGGAGGCAGCGGUGGGGAAUAUUGACCAAGGGGCGCAAGCCUGAUCCAGCAAUCCGGGGUGGGUGAGGAAGGCCUUCGGGUUGUAAAGCCCUUUGUUGGGAAAGAAAAGCAGCAGGUUAAUACCCCGCUGUUCUGACGGUACCCAAAGAAUAAGCACCGGCUAACUUCGUG
RNAcentral lists this ribosomal RNA (491 nucleotides) under uncultured bacterium. RNAcentral's name for it is "partial 16S ribosomal RNA". It matches the Rfam family "Bacterial small subunit ribosomal RNA", at positions 29 to 507 of the family's 1533-position model. The record is from RNAcentral.